UGUCUCAAUACACAUGAUAUGUAUGGCGUCUUUUUCAAUUUAUGUGCUUCAGUUAACUCAAUGAUUAACCUCAGUCAAUCGUAAAUCAAGACGCUUUAAUUAUUGGUUCAACUUUAUUCAUCAAUUUAUGGCUAUUCUGGAAGGAAAUCGUCUUUUAAUUGAAUAGUUGGCUGAAAUUUAAAAUUUGGAAAUGAAACUCUGGAGGCUUCUUAUGGUUCGUAAAUUGGAGGACGAGUCUACACCUGGUAAUUCACGAUUGACUUGUGAAACAAAUUAUUACAAAUUGAUUUCUAGAUGAAUCUAUUUCAGAAGAUCUAUAUCUAGAGAUAUCAAUGGAAAACAAUUUUACAACUUGUAUAACUUAAAGCCAUACAACUAAGCGGUCGUUUCAAUGAAUCUACUUGAGCAAGAUUACAAGACAACUUGAUCUGGAAGGUCACUAUAUAGGAAAUGCCGACAUGCGGAUCCUAUACUUUUUGGUAAACACAACUCACGUUUGCUCCAUCUUUUGACUCAAAAUCAAAUGAACUCAGCUUUUGGCAAAGGCAAUAUAAUUAUCAGAGUUGGAGCUUAUAAUUGGACAGAUUCAUGUAUCGAAGGAAAUUGCUCUUUUAAUUGUCCUGUUUAUGGCUACAAUGAAACCAAAAUGUGAUAGUUAACAACAAUCAAUGAUAAACGAAUAAUAGACGUGCAGAUAAAUUAUGGUAUGAUUGUUGGCAUAUCAAGAACGGCAACGAACUUUUGACUUGAUAAUUAAAUUGUAAACAAAUUAAGGAAACUUACAUCAUAUUGUUGACCUAAUUUUGCCUGGAUAAAAGCCAUCCAAACUUGGGAUCGUAACUCAUUUGGAACUCCAUAUUCUCGAAUAAGAUAUUUCAAAUUAGCACAACCAAUGGUCCACAAUUUAUUGGCUCGAUAGUUGUUGAUUGAAUUUAUCAUAUCAAUCAGUUGAUCUUUCUCAUCUUUGGCUGUUUCUUUGAUGAAACCGAAUUGAUCACAGUUAGCUGAACCUUUACACUCUGAACGAUUAGGAUCACAAUGAACUUUAAUUAUGGGUAUCAUUUGAUUAAAUCUAUCUGAAUGAAGAAAUGUCUAAUUGAAUUAGAAGUAAGCAAAAUGAUUAAACUCAACUAUUGAUUAUAAAUAAAGGUUUUACGAAAACGUGGAAAA
This is a long non-coding RNA of Tetranychus urticae (two-spotted spider mite), 1170 nucleotides long. RefSeq lists it as uncharacterized. The record is from RefSeq and is a predicted model, not a curated record. NCBI's taxonomy places the organism in Eukaryota, Metazoa, Arthropoda, Arachnida, Trombidiformes, Tetranychidae.